GGUGCAGCCGCGGGAGACUGUUGUCUGUCGUCGGGUCGCUCGUCUCUUCAGACAGUGCUACUGUCGUCUCCAUGUCACCAAGGAAGAGACUGAAGUUCCAGGAAACAGUCCCACUUGUUUAUGGUCACACAAUGUUGGCAGAAGACAUGAAACUCCUUGGUCAGAGAAAAGGGUUCUGUCAUUCACAGCACACAACUUCAAAUAAGGUAUCUCCAGUGCCAUCCAACCCGGCACCUCAAAGAAGCCAGCUCACUGCAUAUUUGAAGUUGUUGCAUGGGCUUACAAAGACUAUGAAGAGGAGAGAACACCAUCGACAUCCCUCUUUUCUUUGUCCAUUCCCCUUCUUCCAUCUGUAUUCUAUUUAUCUCCCCUUCUUGCCUCCAAGUCUCUGCUGUCUCUUACCACAACAUCUCUGUAGUGACUUCGCUUUUGCUGGUCUAUUUAUACUCAGAAGGUUUGCUGACUACAUCACUUCCAUCUGUUCUGGAUGAUUAAAUUUUUUCUUAUAUUCUGACCAGGCCAUAA
This 525-nucleotide long non-coding RNA is filed under the name Mustela putorius furo (domestic ferret). RNAcentral's name for it is "lncRNA (ENSMPUG00000031457.1)". Lineage: Eukaryota; Metazoa; Chordata; Mammalia; Carnivora; Mustelidae. The record is from RNAcentral.